AUGUGAUCGUCUCUCGCAUAUCAAUAAGCGGAGGAAAAGAAACUAACAAGGAUUCCCCUAGUAACGGCGAGUGAAGCGGGAAGAGCUCAAAUUUGAAAUCUUAAAGGGUUUCCCUUUACGAAUUGUAGUUUAAAGAAGUGUUUUCUGUUGAGGUUUUGGUAAAAGUUCUUUGGAAUAGGACAUCAUAGAGGGUGAGAAUCCCGUAUUUGACCUUUACUUUCAACUUUGUGAUACACUUUCAAAGAGUCGGAUUGUUUGGGAAUGCAGUCCAAAAUGGGUGGUAAAUUUCAUCUAAAGCUAAAUAUUGGCGAGAGACCGAUAGCGAACAAGUACCGUGAGGGAAAGAUGAAAAGAACUUUGAAAAGAGAGUUAAACAGUACGUGAAAGUUGUCAAAAGGGAAGCGUUUGACACCAGUGUUGUUUUUCUGAAAAUCAAUUAAAGAACUGUUUAUGCUAAGCUGUUUAGACUUUAUCAGCUAUCUGUUUAGUUUUGAGCUUUUCUUUAAUGCACUUUUCAGUUAACAAGUCAACAUCAAUUUCUUUUGCUGUAAAAAAGCUUGAGGAAGGUGGCUUGAGACUCGUCUUAAGUGUUUAUAGCCUCUUGCCUAUGCAGUCGGAGAGAUUGAGGUCUGCAGCGUAGAUCCUUCGGGGCUAAAUGCAUUUGUGCUAAGUUAUAGCAUUUUAUAGACAACUUGUUGACUAUGAUUUGUCUUGUAGCUUACUCGCUUAUGUUAUUUUACCUACGCUUAGGAUGUUGAUCUACAGAGCGAGAGU
This 774-nucleotide ribosomal RNA is filed under the name uncultured Neocallimastigales. RNAcentral describes it as "partial large subunit ribosomal RNA". It matches the Rfam family "Eukaryotic large subunit ribosomal RNA", at positions 24 to 635 of the family's 3401-position model. The record is from RNAcentral. Lineage: Eukaryota; Fungi; Neocallimastigomycota; Neocallimastigomycetes; Neocallimastigales.